ACACCGGCAGCUCAAGUGGUGGCCAUUUUUAUUGGGCCUAAAGCGUUCGUAGCCGGCUUGAUAAGUCCCUGGUGAAAUCCCAUAGCUUAACUGUGGGAAUUGCUGGAGAUACUAUUAGGCUUGAGGCCGGGAGAGGUUAGGGGUACUCCCAGGGUAGGGGUGAAAUCCUAUAAUCCUGGGAGGACCACCUGUGGCGAAGGCGCCUAACUGGAACGGACCUGACGGUGAGUAACGAAAGCCAGGGGCUCGAACCGGAUUAGAUACCCGGGUAGUCCUGGCCGUAAACGAUGCGGACUUGGUGUUGGAAUGGCUUCGAGCUGCUCCAGUGCCGAAGGGAAGCUGUUAAGUCCGCCGCCUGGGAAGUACGGUCGCAAGACUGAA
RNAcentral lists this ribosomal RNA (381 nucleotides) under uncultured bacterium. Its description in RNAcentral is "bacterial SSU rRNA". It matches the Rfam family "Archaeal small subunit ribosomal RNA", at positions 473 to 853 of the family's 1478-position model. The record is from RNAcentral. RNAcentral also lists the same sequence under 1 other name.